RNAcentral lists this ribosomal RNA (254 nucleotides) under uncultured bacterium. Its description in RNAcentral is "partial 16S ribosomal RNA". It matches the Rfam family "Bacterial small subunit ribosomal RNA", at positions 524 to 776 of the family's 1533-position model. The record is from RNAcentral.
UACGUAGGGUGCGAGCGUUGUCCGGAAUUAUUGGGCGUAAAGGGCUCGUAGGCGGUUUGUCGCGUCGGGAGUGAAAUCCACUGGCUUAACUGGUGGCUUGCUUUCGAUACGGGCAGACUGGAGGUAUGCAGGGGGAGAACGGAAUUCCUGGUGUAGCGGUGAAAUGCGCAGAUAUCAGGAGGAACACCGGUGGCGAAGGCGGUUCUCUGGGCAUGUCCUGACGCUGAGGGGCGAAAGUGUGGGGAGCGAACAGG